This 550-nucleotide ribosomal RNA is filed under the name uncultured bacterium. Its description in RNAcentral is "bacterial SSU rRNA". It matches the Rfam family "Bacterial small subunit ribosomal RNA", at positions 355 to 896 of the family's 1533-position model. The record is from RNAcentral.
UAGGGAAUCUUCGGCAAUGGACGGAAGUCUGACCGAGCAACGCCGCGUGAGUGAAGAAGGUUUUCGGAUCGUAAAGCUCUGUUGUAAGAGAAGAACGAGUGUGAGAGUGGAAAGUUCACACUGUGACGGUAUCUUACCAGAAAGGGACGGCUAACUACGUGCCAGCAGCCGCGGUAAUACGUAGGUCCCGAGCGUUAUCCGGAUUUAUUGGGCGUAAAGCGAGCGCAGGCGGUUAGAUAAGUCUGAAGUUAAAGGCUGUGGCUUAACCAUAGUACGCUUUGGAAACUGUUUAACUUGAGUGCAGAAGGGGAGAGUGGAAUUCCAUGUGUAGCGGUGAAAUGCGUAGAUAUAUGGAGGAACACCGGUGGCGAAAGCGGCUCUCUGGUCUGUAACUGACGCUGAGGCUCGAAAGCGUGGGGAGCAAACAGGAUUAGAUACCCUGGUAGUCCACGCCGUAAACGAUGAGUGCUAGGUGUUGGGUCCUUUCCGGGACUCAGUGCCGCAGCUAACGCACUAAGCACUCCGCCUGGGGAGUACGACCGCAAGGUUG